CCUACGGGGUGUUGCAGUGGGGAAUAUUGGACAAUGGGCGAAAGCCUGAUCCAGCCAUGCCGCGUGUGUGAAGAAGGCCUUCGGGUUGUAAAGCACUUUCAGUGGGGAAGAAAGCCUUGGGGCUAAUACCCUCGAGGAAGGACAUCACCCACAGAAGAAGCACCGGCUAACUCCGUGCCAGCAGCCGCGGUAAUACGGAGGGUGCGAGCGUUAAUCGGAAUUACUGGGCGUAAAGCGCGCGUAGGCGGUCUGAUAAGCCGGUUGUGAAAGCCCCGGGCUCAACCUGGGAACGGCAUCCGGAACUGUCAGGCUAGAGUGCAGGAGAGGAAGGUAGAAUUCCCGGUGUAGCGGUGAAAUGCGUAGAGAUCGGGAGGAAUACCAGUGGCGAAGGCGGCCUUCUGGACUGACACUGACGCUGAGGUGCGAAAGCGUGGGUAGCAAACAGGAUUAGAUACCCUUGUAGUC
RNAcentral lists this ribosomal RNA (465 nucleotides) under Vreelandella stevensii. RNAcentral describes it as "partial 16S ribosomal RNA". It matches the Rfam family "Bacterial small subunit ribosomal RNA", at positions 338 to 795 of the family's 1533-position model. Lineage: Bacteria; Pseudomonadati; Pseudomonadota; Gammaproteobacteria; Oceanospirillales; Halomonadaceae. The record is from RNAcentral.